Molecule: ribosomal RNA, 405 nt
Filed under: uncultured bacterium
Lineage: Bacteria
Description: partial 16S ribosomal RNA
Rfam family: Bacterial small subunit ribosomal RNA
Source: RNAcentral
GACGAACGCUGGCGGCGUGCCUAAUACAUGCAAGUCGAACGAGUGGCGGACGGGUGAGUAAUGCUUGGGCAUCUAGCUUAUGGCGGGGGAUAACUACGGGAAACUGUAACUAAUACCGCGUACCAUAGGAUGAGCCCAAGUGGGAUUAGGUAGUUGGUGAGGUAAAGGCUCACCAAGCCGACGAUCGCUAGCUGGUCUGAGAGGAUUACCAGCCACACUGGGACGGAGACACGGCCCAGACUCCUACGGGAGGCAGCAGUGGGGAAUAUUGCGCAAUGGGGGCAACCUGACGCAGCCAUGCCGCGUGAAUGAAGAAGGCCUUCGGGUUGUAAAGUUCUUUCGGUAGCGAGGCGUUAACUACAGAAGAAGCACCGGCUAACUCCGUGCCAGCAGCCGCGGUAAUUC